GUCUUAUUGAAUAUAAUUUUAAGUCUAAUCUGCCCAAUGAAUUUUAAAUGGCUGCAGUAUCUUAACUGUACAAAGGUAGCAUAAUAAUUAGUUUCUUAAUUAGAGACUGGAAUGAAUGAUUGGACGAGAUAAAUACUGUCUCUUUAUAAAUUAUAGAAUUUUAUUUUUAAGUUAAAAAGCUUAAAUAAAAUUAAAAGACGAGAAGACCCUAUAGAGUUUUAUAAAAAUUUUUAUUAUAAAUUUUAGUUUGAGAAUUUUAUUUUUUAAAAAAUUUAUUUGAUUGGGGUGAUUAAAAAAUUUAAUUAACUUUUUUAUUUAAAACAUUAAUUUAUGAUUAGUUGAUCCAUAUAUAAUGAUUACAAGAUUAAAUUACCUUAGGGAUAACAGCGUAAUUUUUUUUGAAAGUUCUUAUUAAAAAAAGAGAUUGCGACCUCGAUGUUGGAUUAAAAUUAAUUUUAGGUGUAGAAGCUUAAAUAUUAGGUCUGUUCGACCUUUAAAAUUUUACAUGAUCUGAGUUUAAAUCGGUGUGAGCCAGGUUGGAUUCUAUCUUUAAUUAGUUAUUAUAUUUUAGUACGAAAGGACCAAAUAUAAAUAUAAUAUAUUUCAUUAUGAAUGU
RNAcentral lists this ribosomal RNA (616 nucleotides) under Adelopsis sp. IBE AF221. RNAcentral's name for it is "partial 16S ribosomal RNA". The stretch from base 380 to 538 matches the Rfam family "Bacterial large subunit ribosomal RNA", at positions 2473 to 2632 of the family's 2925-position model. Lineage: Eukaryota; Metazoa; Arthropoda; Insecta; Coleoptera; Leiodidae. The record is from RNAcentral.